This 117-nucleotide ribosomal RNA is filed under the name Danio rerio (zebrafish). Lineage: Eukaryota; Metazoa; Chordata; Actinopteri; Cypriniformes; Danionidae. The record is from RNAcentral.
UUCAUGUGCCAUGUCACCCUGCAGCCCAAGACCGGUUACUCACUGAAGCUAAGCAGGGCUGAGCCUGGUCAGUACCUGAAUGGGAGACCACUAGGGAUCACUAGGUUGCUGUUGGAA